This 129-nucleotide small nuclear RNA is filed under the name Sorex araneus (European shrew). RNAcentral describes it as "U4 spliceosomal RNA (ENSSARG00000014980.1)". It matches the Rfam family "U4 spliceosomal RNA". Rfam says of the family: U4 small nuclear RNA (U4 snRNA) is a component of the major U2-dependent spliceosome. Lineage: Eukaryota; Metazoa; Chordata; Mammalia; Eulipotyphla; Soricidae. The record is from RNAcentral.
AGCUUUGCGCAGUGGCAGUAUUGUAGCCAAUGAGGUUUAUCUGAGGCACGAUUAUUGCUAAUUGAAAACUUUUCCCAAUACCCCGCCAUGACGACUGGAAAUAUAGGUGGCAUAAAAUUUAUUAAUAAA